UGCUGUCGCUCUCUGCCUCUACACGCCCCCCUCCCAUCUUCCAUCCCAGUCCGCCUAUAGGUUCCGCGCAAAGGUAAAAGGGGGGAAAUAGGAGGCUUUAUAGACAUCCACAUUGCUCUCUCUGCCUUGCUGCCCGUUUCACUCCUUUCAGUCUUUUUGAGUUUUUCCAGCAGCGCGCCCAAAAUGCCAAGCAAGAGGAAGAAGAACAAGCGUCGCAUGAGGAGGGUGCAAGCCCAGAGGAGAGCACUUGAGGAUCAGCAUGCAGCCAAUCUACCAAUCAAAUCCAACUCAGGGAUUGCCAUUAGUGCGCCCCCUACAGCAACUCCCAAAAAAGCAGCUAAGAUUUCACCACCCACUCGAGAAAAGCCCCCACAGGUCAUUCCCAUUUCUGCCCCUGCAGUGGAACCUCCAAAAUUUGAACCGCAGCCUGUUGUGAAAGAAGAAGCAGCAGAGGCCUUCGUGGUUGAGGUAGCUGCAGCAGAUGAUGGUGUGCUGUUGGAGCAGGCUACUGUGGAGCUGGAAUCCAGAGUGGGGGAUGAAGUUGAAGGUCCAGCACGUGUCGCCAAAGAAGCAGCAGUUGAAAGUAUUCCUCCAGCAGAACCCUCUACGGUUGAAGCUGAUCUGGCGAAAGAGGCUGAGGUUUCUGUUUCUGAAACAGAGUCUGUCCCUGAGGUUACAACCCCAGAUGAGGCUCCAGUCGUGGUUGCUGUAGAAGCUGAAACAGAAGACAAUGAAGACACACAGACAGAGAUGGGUCAGACCCAGAAUGUCUGCGAGGCAGACUCUGAGAAAGAUGUGACCCUGGCAGAAGAAGACACUGAGACCAAGGAGGAACUAGAAGUGUCCAUCACUGAAGAAGUAACCAUAUUGGAGUCGGUUAAGGAACAAGCUGAAGAACCAGUGGUAGAAGAUCUUACCAGUGACCAAAGUCCUGCUGACGUAGAACAUGCUGCAGAAAAAACAGAAUCUGAUACUGGAUCAGAGGUGGAAGUUGUCAUAGAAACACUGGAGCCUGCAGAGCCACCUGAGGAUGGGGAGGAAAAACUGGAAGACUCAGCUGCACUCAGUGUCCAGUCUGUUGCAGCCAUAGAGGAUGCUCUUGGCCCACCUGUGGAAAUCCCAGCAGUAUUAAACACAAUCACUGAAGCUCCUCUGGAUGAAGCUGACCCUCCUGUUGUUGAACAUACAGAGGGAACUGCCGACCUGCUGCUCCAACAAUUAGCUGUUACUGAAUCUGUGACAACAGCGAAGGAUGUUUCAACAUCUGCUGUUGUGCAGGAGGAAGCUGAGGGAACAGGGGACACUUUUAUCACCCAAACAGAAGCUACUCCUGCAGAUCCUGAAACAGAAUCUGCUGCUCCUGCAGGGGAGAUUGUUGCUGCCAACCAAAAGUGUCUGGAUGUGUUGUCAGAAGAAGCGAAAUCCGGAGGCUGUGAUGUUCCAUGUCAGGGACAGCUUCCUGUUGAGGCUGUGCAGCUUAGUGGAGUAGAGCUUUCAGUGGAAAUAACACAUAAUGGAAACAUUGUUCCUGAGGUCUCCAUUGAGGGUUAAAGCCAAGGCACACAGCUCAGAGAACCUUUUUCUAUGUGUAAGACUCUAAAAAUUCCCGUUGGAGGACUCAAAGCUUUCCAGGGAGUCAACCAGACCUUUUCAUUUUUUAAGGCUUAAGGCAGAACAGGCAGGAAAUCGAAGUGGGCAUCCACACUUUGAAGUGCCUUUUCCUGUCCUGUACUCUGCUGAAACAUCAAACCAGAUGUGAACAUGCAGAAACGGCUUCUCUCACGACAGCAGCUGAGACCUAUGAAAAAAAGCAUCUUUGGUUCUUUUAAAUACUUUGCUAUGCAACAAAAUCACGUAUAAAUGAGUUUGACUAUAGUAGUUCAGGAGAAGGUGCUGAAGGCAUGACAAUCAGCAGCAGAAAUAUUUUUGCAUCUUCUGUCUCCCAGAAUAUCUUUCUCCACAGUGCAUAGACUUUAUGCAUAUCAGUAGACUUGUAGCAUUGAUAAUUGGGUCUGUAGUUUGUUUAUUGGACAGAGAUGUGUUGUUUUUUGCUGUUUUUUGAAUGUCACUUGUUUAGCUUACCACUCUCUUUUCAAAACAAACCUUCCAAUAAAAUUAAAACUGGGGUAACUUUAUUAAAAACAUAUUUUUUACAUAUUUGUCUCAUUCUAUACUGUCACAACAGUAUAGAAUGAGAGAGACAAUGUGUGAAAAAACACAGUAUUGUUUUAAGAUUUGUUCUUAACUUAAAACAUUACUAUAGUCAUGUUUCAUGACUGUACAUGGUGCUUUACCAAGGAUUUGGUGAAGCAUCACCUCCCACCUCAAUUUUUGCAGUUGUUUGCAGCAGGUUUUGUGUAAACAACUGCCAAAUGUGAACCAAGUCAAUGAUUUAAAGCAGAACUUCACCUUGGUGUAGGCCACUAUUGAACUAGCUGUUAGUUUUACCUGGGAGACUAAUUAAACAACUAAUUUGGGUUUACACUAAACAAAGAUGGCAAAAGAAUCGUCUUCUUUGGGCAAUUCAUUUCCUGCUCAUAUCCUUUAACAGAACCAUACUUCAAAAAUUCACAAAUUUAUUUCCUUUUCUGUCUACCAUUGUUCACUGUCUUGACGAAGUGCCACUGUUAAUGUUACAAAGCUACAUUGUAAAGAGCAAGCUUUGAUAUUGAACAGAACAUUGAAUAUCAAAAUGAAUUUCAUAAUUCAUUUUGUAUACACAGAGUAAUGCAUACACAAUUGUGUUAAAAUUGGUACAUUAUGAGUUAUUGUUGGGCUGUCUUGACCUGUGAAAUAAAAGUUAUAACUCAGUGA
Molecule: RNA transcript, 2814 nt
Organism: Xiphophorus hellerii (green swordtail)
Lineage: Eukaryota; Metazoa; Chordata; Actinopteri; Cyprinodontiformes; Poeciliidae
Gene name: fibrous sheath CABYR-binding protein-like
Exons: 12
Source: RefSeq, a predicted model, not a curated record